Long non-coding RNA from Salarias fasciatus (jewelled blenny), 105 nucleotides. RefSeq lists it as uncharacterized. Lineage: Eukaryota; Metazoa; Chordata; Actinopteri; Blenniiformes; Blenniidae. The transcript is spliced from 3 exons. The record is from RefSeq and is a predicted model, not a curated record.
GUUUGUCCUGUUGGAACACAAAGAGGAGGCGCUUUAGCACUGGUGCCACUCAUCCACCCGGAGCAAUUUAUGAUCCAAUCAAAGGAAAUCAAAUGAAGUUGAGAG